UACAGAGGGGGCAAGCGUUAUUCGGAAUUAUUGGGCGUAAAGGGCGCGUAGGCGGCCUGGCAAGUGGAAGGUGAAAUCCCUCGGCUUAACCGAGGAACUGCCCUCCAAACUGCUUGGCUUGAGUCCGGGAGAGGUGAGUGGAAUUCCCAGUGUAGCGGUGAAAUGCGUAGAUAUUGGGAGGAACACCGAUGGCGAAGGCAAUCCCCUGGGCCUGCACUGACGCUCAUGCACGAAAGCGUGGGGAGCAAACAGG
Molecule: ribosomal RNA, 253 nt
Filed under: uncultured bacterium
Lineage: Bacteria
Description: partial 16S ribosomal RNA
Rfam family: Bacterial small subunit ribosomal RNA
Source: RNAcentral